AGUGUUUUAAUAAAUGUUGAUACCAACUGUUUUGGGGGAAGACAAAUUAUUUGUCGAAGCAACAGAGCCUUUAAAUCUACAAAGCUUUAUAAAAGCAGCCACGUUGGAAUUUAAAAUUUAUGCCCCAUGAAAUAUAACAGCCUUAGUUUUUGGUGUAACUAUAAAAGAAGACCAGUUUGAAAAAGUUAUUCAUCAAUAUAUAUCAACACCAACUUUUCAUAUUGAGUUGCAAUUUGGAGACUCCGUUCGAUCAGUGGCAUCAGCAUCGACAGUUAGUGGUACUUUAUCGGAGUGUGAAUCUGUAGGUGGUUCUGAGGAUUUUACUCCAAAAACAAAUGUAAUUUCAAUAUUAAAGACUGACAUACAGUCCAUAAAGUCAAUUCCGGCUAUCAACAAAAUAUGGAGAACUUUUAUUGAAGAAAAACGCCUGCAAAAUAAGGAUAGGGUGAAUAUUUCGAAGGCCAUUAUUGACGAAUGUCUAAAAGAAGACCCCAACAGAUUACUUAAACGUGAAGAUUUUGAAGUUCUGGCCGAAUCGAUUGUCCACAUUUUUUAUACCGAAUUAGCUUCUGCAUACUUCCUCCCCUCUGAGAAAGGCUGUAUUGCUAGAGGAAAGUUGUGGAGUGCGUACAAU
Musca domestica (house fly) is the source of this 634-nucleotide long non-coding RNA. RefSeq lists it as uncharacterized. Lineage: Eukaryota; Metazoa; Arthropoda; Insecta; Diptera; Muscidae. The transcript has 3 exons. The record is from RefSeq and is a predicted model, not a curated record.